Molecule: transfer RNA, 72 nt
Filed under: Candidatus Woesearchaeota archaeon
Lineage: Archaea; Nanobdellati; Candidatus Woesearchaeota
Description: tRNA-Tyr
Rfam family: tRNA
About the family: Transfer RNA (tRNA) molecules are approximately 80 nucleotides in length. Their secondary structure includes four short double-helical elements and three loops (D, anti-codon, and T loops). Further hydrogen bonds mediate the characteristic L-shaped molecular structure. tRNAs have two regions of fundamental functional importance: the anti-codon, which is responsible for specific mRNA codon recognition, and the 3' end, to which the tRNAs corresponding amino acid is attached (by aminoacyl-tRNA synthetases). tRNAs cope with the degeneracy of the genetic code in two manners: having more than one tRNA (with a specific anti-codon) for a particular amino acid; and 'wobble' base-pairing, i.e. permitting non-standard base-pairing at the 3rd anti-codon position.
Source: RNAcentral
CUCCCUGUAGCUCAACAGUAGAGCGUAUGGCUGUAGACCAUAAGGUUCUGGGUUCAAAUCCCAGCAGGGAGA